This 497-nucleotide ribosomal RNA is filed under the name uncultured bacterium. RNAcentral's name for it is "partial 16S ribosomal RNA". It matches the Rfam family "Bacterial small subunit ribosomal RNA", at positions 28 to 507 of the family's 1533-position model. The record is from RNAcentral.
GAUGAACGCUGGCGGCGUGCCUAAUACAUGCAAGUCGAGCGAACAGACGAGGAGCUUGCUCCUCUGACGUUAGCGGCGGACGGGUGAGUAACACGUGGAUAACCUACCUAUAAGACUGGGAUAACUUCGGGAAACCGGAGCUAAUACCGGAUAAUAUAUUGAACCGCAUGGUUCAAUAGUGAAAGACGGUUUUGCUGUCACUUAUAGAUGAAUCCGUGCCGCAUUAGCUAGUUGGUAAGGUAACGGCUUACCAAGGCAACGAUGCGUAGCCGACCUGAGGGGGUGAUAGGCCACACUAGAACUUAGCCGCGGUCCAGACUCCUACGGGAGGCAGCAGUAGGGAAUCGUACGCAAUGGUCGAAAGCCUGACGGAGCAGCGCCGAGUGAGUGAUGACGGUCUUCGGAUCGUAAAACUCUGUUAUUAGGGAAGAACAUAUGUGUAAGUAACUGUGCACGUCUUGACGGUACCUAAUCAGAAAGCCACGGCUAACUACGUG